CGGUAACUGCCCAAGAAUGUCCAUUUCAGAGGAAAGACAAGAUGGAGUCAGACACAGAGAUUCCUGAAUUCAGCUCCUCUCUAGUGACAAAGACGCCAGACUGGAAGAAACCUGCCAUUCAUAGCACUCCACAGGAGAUGGCUAUGGGCUGGAGCCCAAGGCCCCCCGGAAGAAACUUCCAAAGCCACUGGUCCUUGAUAUCUAAAGGGUCUCCCCAGCUGUCAGGGUUCAGUUCCACAACCACCUUCAGAAAAAGGCUUUCAACUGUUGAGGAUUUAGAGAGUUCCAGCGAGCAGGAGGGGCCCCAUUCAGACCAUUUAGCUGCAGAGGAAGGACCCUGCAUGUCAGCCUCCUUGAACCAGGAGCAGCAUCAGAAGAAGACAGAGGCCCUGCAGGCAACGAGCUGGCCAAAGAACUCAGGAAUGCCUGGAAUCUCAGACAUCGCCUGUCGAAAGAGACGAGACCCAAAGAAGCGGGCAGCUGCGAUGCAACGCUUGCGGCAAUGGGAGGCCCAGAUGCUUCAGGAAAUUGAGGAGGCAGUUCAUCAUGAACUUACCAUCCAAGAGGGGGUCCUUAGCACUGAGCUCCCUGGCCAAGCCCAGGGGCCACUUAGCAUCAGUACAGUUAGGAUAGAUCCCCAGGCCCCUGCUGCCUUGGCAUGACUUCAUUGUCCACACCACACACUCCAGCUGGCCCAGGAGUGGGCCAGCAGCUGGGACUGUGCACAGGAACUUCAGAUUCCACACAAUGUUCUAAGUGGUCCACUUUAUAUUUAAACAUCUGCGUGUUUUACAAGCUACUUUCUAUUAAAAUAAUUCUCUAUUUUCAUUUGUGUAAUUAUCUGGUUAUAAAAUCAGCCUUGUGAACAUGUCAGAACUUUACUAAUUUUUCAAAGACAGAAUACUAUUUUUAAAACCUGGUUAGAACUGUGUAACAUGGAGAUGAAUACAUCAGAGAAAAGUUCUUCCAAUCUUCAUUAUUAAAAAUAAACUCUUUUCAUGAG
This is a long non-coding RNA of Mus musculus (house mouse), 1003 nucleotides long. RefSeq annotates it as coiled coil domain 201. The record is from RefSeq and is marked validated. NCBI's taxonomy places the organism in Eukaryota, Metazoa, Chordata, Mammalia, Rodentia, Muridae. The transcript is spliced from 4 exons.